This 276-nucleotide long non-coding RNA is filed under the name Bos taurus (domestic cattle). RNAcentral's name for it is "long non-coding RNA NONBTAT017141". Lineage: Eukaryota; Metazoa; Chordata; Mammalia; Artiodactyla; Bovidae. The record is from RNAcentral.
GACACAUCUAAGCUGAGGACCAAUGCAUGGAAUUUGGAAGUUCUCUUACCAGAGCCAGAGUCAUGACAUAUAUAAUGUGAAGCUAAAGUUGCUGUUCAUUUUAAUUCAUUCUUUGUUGGGAAGGAAUAGUUUGGUUUCUUUUUCAUGUUAGUUUUUGUGUUUUUCUUUAAAGAUAAAAUCAUGAGUCUGAGAAUAGCACCUCCACUGGCUUACUUCAUACAAAUUCAGUUCCAGUUUGUACAGGCAAUGGGAGAGAGCCGAGCAAUUGCAAGCAGU